Molecule: ribosomal RNA, 564 nt
Filed under: Streptomyces olivaceus
Lineage: Bacteria; Bacillati; Actinomycetota; Actinomycetes; Kitasatosporales; Streptomycetaceae
Description: bacterial SSU rRNA
Rfam family: Bacterial small subunit ribosomal RNA
Source: RNAcentral
UAGUGGCGAACGGGUGAGUAACACGUGGGCAAUCUGCCCUUCACUCUGGGACAAGCCCUGGAAACGGGGUCUAAUACCGGAUACGACCCGGGAAGGCAUCUUCCCGGGUGGAAAGCUCCGGCGGUGAAGGAUGAGCCCGCGGCCUAUCAGCUUGUUGGCGGGGUAACGGCCCACCAAGGCGACGACGGGUAGCCGGCCUGAGAGGGCGACCGGCCACACUGGGACUGAGACACGGCCCAGACUCCUACGGGAGGCAGCAGUGGGGAAUAUUGCACAAUGGGCGCAAGCCUGAUGCAGCGACGCCGCGUGAGGGAUGACGGCCUUCGGGUUGUAAACCUCUUUCAGCAGGGAAGAAGCGCAAGUGACGGUACCUGCAGAAGAAGCGCCGGCUAACUACGUGCCAGCAGCCGCGGUAAUACGUAGGGCGCAAGCGUUGUCCGGAAUUAUUGGGCGUAAAGAGCUCGUAGGCGGCUUGUCACGUCGGGUGUGAAAGCCCGGGGCUUAACCCCGGGUCUGCAUCCGAUACGGGCAGGCUAGAGUGUGGUAGGGGAGAUCGGAAUUCCU